UCAACUUGCUUCUGCCAUGCCAGCGUCACCCCUGGUCUCAGGUGAUUUCUUAGGCUAAUUCUCAGAGAUGGGGUUAUUGGGCCAAAAAAGCCUACUAUGGCUUUCCGAAGCUCUCAUUGUUCCCAUUAUCUCAUGCAUCCCUGAGAUGCAGUCAGCAGAGGAUUCUAUUUGAGGGACUAAACACUCCCGGGGAAAGCAGGAAGAAGGAGACGGGAAAUAACAUUUGCUAUUGAGCGCCAGGCAUCGUCCUACAGGCUUCAAAGUGAACCUUGGAUGUGCUGCUGAUCUGACCUGCCCAGAUUUGUCAUCAUUGUUAUUGUCUUGGCCGCUUAUGAAGACGUUCACCCAGCAGGACUUUAGAAGCUUUGUUCACUCGAUCUCAUUUAAUCCUCACAAUAGUGCCCUAAGGAAGAUAUUAGUAUCCCCAUUUUACAAAGAAGGAAACAGGAACCUGGGGAGAUUAAGCGAAGGCCUCACAGAUCAUGAAUAGAAGAGUCUGGAAACCUAGUCUGGUUCAAGGUUGUGCUCUUUCUGCUCUGCCAUGCUGUGCUACAGCC
RNAcentral lists this long non-coding RNA (557 nucleotides) under Pongo abelii (Sumatran orangutan). RNAcentral's name for it is "lincRNA". Lineage: Eukaryota; Metazoa; Chordata; Mammalia; Primates; Hominidae. The record is from RNAcentral.